RNAcentral lists this ribosomal RNA (468 nucleotides) under uncultured bacterium. Its description in RNAcentral is "partial 16S ribosomal RNA". It matches the Rfam family "Bacterial small subunit ribosomal RNA", at positions 28 to 507 of the family's 1533-position model. The record is from RNAcentral.
GACGAACGCUGGCGGCGUGCUUAACACAUGCAAGUCGAACGGAAAGGCCCUGCUUUUGUGGGGUGCUCGAGUGGCGAACGGGUGAGUAACACGUGAGUAACCUGCCCUUGACUUUGGGAUAACUUCAGGAAACUGGGGCUAAUACCGGAUAGGAGCUCCUGCUGCAUGGUGGGGGUUGGAAAGUUUCGGCGGUUGGGGAUGGACUCGCGGCUUAUCAGCUUGUUGGUGGGGUAGUUGCUUACCAAGGCUUUGACGGGUAGCCGGCAUGAGAGGGUGACCGGCGACAUUGGGACUGAGAGACGGACAAGAAGCCAACGGGAGGGAGCAGUGGGGAAUAUUGAAAAAUGGGAGGAAGCAUGAUGAAGAAACGCGGCGAGCGGGAUGAAGGCCUUCGGGUUGUAAACAGAUUUCGCCUGUGAAGAAGAGUGAGUGACGGUAAUGGGUAAAGAAGCACCGGCUAACUACGUG